ACCACACAGGAGGAUAGCCUUGGGAAACUGAGAGUAACCCUCCAUAGUCUUGAGUUGCCGCAUGGUAGCUUAAGUAAAACUUCGGUGGUGUGGGAUAGUCGUGCGUCCGAUUAGGUAGUUGGUAGUGUAAUGGACUACCAAGCCGACGAUCGGUAGCUGGUCUGAGAGGAUGAUCAGCCACACGGGCACUGAGACACGGGCCCGACUCCUACGGGAGGCAGCAGUAAGGAAUAUUGGACAAUGGACGGAAGUCUGAUCCAGCCAUCCCGCGUGGAGGAAUAAGGCCCUAUGGGUUGUAAACUCCUUUAGCAGGGGAAUAAAAGGUCAUUUAUGAUCAAUUGAAGGUACCCUGAGAAUAAGCACCGGCUAACUCCGUG
This 377-nucleotide ribosomal RNA is filed under the name uncultured bacterium. RNAcentral describes it as "bacterial SSU rRNA". It matches the Rfam family "Bacterial small subunit ribosomal RNA", at positions 130 to 507 of the family's 1533-position model. The record is from RNAcentral.